GAACAGGAUCAGUGGUGGCGGCGUUGCGUUUUCUCCUUUUGUGAGAUUUAAAAGAGUCAUCUUCGUCCAUGACGAGUUUGAAACAUGUAAACAACGACUUCUUAUUAUUAUUGCUUUUAUUCAUUUCUUUCAUUAUAACAUCAAGAAUAAUAUGAUAUCCAGUUUUUUUUUAAAAGAAAUAUGAUUUCCACUAAAUUUAAAGAAUAAUCAAAACCAACAAAAGGGUUUUGGAACAUUAUUUUCCAACAAAAAGAGGCAAAAUCUCAAGUUAAAUCUAAAAUUAAGGUAUUUUUGUUUGGUUUGGUUUUUUUCUUGUGAUUGUGAAAUAGAGAGAUUGAUGGCGUGUAAGAUUUUGUUGUUCAAUUAUGUUGUUUGUAAGAAAUGUUGCUUUAGAGAGAAAAACGGUUGAAACUUUUUUUUAAGUUUUCUAAACCAAUCAAUUGAAAAUUAUGCCUAUGUUUACUUCUCUCCCUCUCUCUUCUUUUGGUAAUAAAACGUUCCAUAUUUAUCUUCUUAUUUUUGAAUAUCUAUAGUUGCUUACGUGGAAUAUAUAGUUUUGAUUUUUGAUAAUGAUUGAAUUUAUGUGUUAUUUAUACAACUAAUCUGUUUUAGAUACACCUUUUUUCAAAUAAUGAAGUUAGCAUGGUAAUCAUUUAUUCGUAACAUGAUAUCCUCUAAAUUUAUCAAAUGAAAUCAUAUACUUCAUAUAUAUAUCUCUCUCAUAUAUAUAUAUAAAUGUGAAAUUGCUAUAAUUUUUUUUAAAAUAUUAUUCAAAUUUGAUUUCACCGAUAUUUUAUUUAUGUUUAUCUCUAUUAUAGAUCAUGUCAUUUGAUAGUUUUAAGAAAUAGAAAAUAUCAUUAUUGAUAAGUAGGUAUUCAAAAUAAGUUUAAUAUAUAUGUAAUGUAUGUGUAAGAAAAUUUUACACUGACAUCGAAUACAAACUCAUGAUAUUGUCACAUAAGUUGUUUUGUAAUUAUAAUUUUAAAAUAAUCGUAAAAUAGUAAAUUUUCAAUGGACAUUAAUGUAAAACUAAUUUACACCAACAAAAUAUAUAUCCUUUUUUUUCAUUUGAAAUUGUAAGUAUUAGUCAAUGGUAUAUGAGUAUAUAUAUAUUUGAUAUUUUAAAUGUCAUUCAAUAUAAUCAUUCAAAUAAAAUUUUGUAGUUAAACAAUAUGUCAUGAUAGGUUAAAUUAACUUGACCUAAAAUGAGCUAAUUAAAAGGAAAAAUAAAGAAUAUUUCAAGUCAAGACUUUAUAAUAGUUUUUAGUUUUAUCUGUAUUUAAUUUGAAUUGUAAUGGUUUUAGUUAAGUGGUGUAAGCCCAAUAUGGUUUUAGAGAAUUGACAUUUGGUCCAUUUUAGGAAUAAGGUAAAUCCCUAUUUAAAUACCUUGUAAGAGUCUCAUUUUGGAUAACUUUGAAAUGAAAUGAAAUUUCUCUAAUGAGAGUUGUGAGUGAGAUGUGGCUCCUCUUUGAGUUAUUCGAUUAUAACUUGUUUAAAUCUUAUCAAUGGAUUUCUUACCAUUGUGACGAUUCAACAUUGGCUUAUCAAUCGUCCUUGAUUGCGGCGUCUUCUUCAUCUUUUCCAUCUAACCCAUGUUUGUUUGUUUCUUUUCCUUUUUAUUUUACAACUUUAUCUCAAGAAAUCACUUGGUUAGAUCUUCAAUCUCAUGUGGAAGCACUCAAAUCCACAUUAGCAUGGGUACAACAUUAAUGUCAUGUCGAUAGAAAUUCAUGUGGCAUAUUAAAUUUAUGUAUUUGAUGUCGUGCUCUAAAGUGGUUACCUUAUAAUUCAAACACCUUAAGACUUUGUUUGAAUUGAUGAAAUGAAGUGAUGUACAUGAAAUUAUAUUUUAGUGUUUAAAUUUAUAAAAAUUUAAUUGAGC
RNAcentral lists this long non-coding RNA (1882 nucleotides) under Cicer arietinum (chickpea). RNAcentral describes it as "long non-coding RNA (CARI_LNC000131)". The record is from RNAcentral. Lineage: Eukaryota; Viridiplantae; Streptophyta; Magnoliopsida; Fabales; Fabaceae.